Molecule: ribosomal RNA, 497 nt
Filed under: uncultured bacterium
Lineage: Bacteria
Description: partial 16S ribosomal RNA
Rfam family: Bacterial small subunit ribosomal RNA
Source: RNAcentral
GAUGAACGCUGGCGGCGUGCCUAAUACAUGCAAGUCGAACGCUGAAGGAAGGAGCUUGCUCUUUCCGGAUGAGUUGCGAACGGGUGAGUAACGCGUAGGUAACCUGCCUGGUAGCGGGGGAUAACUAUUGGAAACGAUAGCUAAUACCGCAUAACAGUAGAUGUUGCAUGAUAUCUACUUAAAAGGUGCAAUUGCACCACUACCAGAUGGACCUGCGUUGUAUUAGCUAGUUGGUGAGGUAACGGCUCACCAAGGCGACGAUACAUAGCCGACCUGAGAGGGGGAGCGGCCACACUGGGACUGAGACACGGCCCAGACCACUACGGGAGGCAGCAGUAGGGAAUCUUCGGCAAAGGAAGGAAGGCUGACCGAGCAACGCCGCGUGAGGGAAGAAGGUUGUCGGAUCGUAAAGCUCUGUUGUAAGAGAAGAACGAGUGUGAGAGUGGAAAGUUCACACUGUGACGGUAUCUUACCAGAAAGGGACGGCUAACUACGUG